Molecule: ribosomal RNA, 492 nt
Filed under: uncultured bacterium
Lineage: Bacteria
Description: partial 16S ribosomal RNA
Rfam family: Bacterial small subunit ribosomal RNA
Source: RNAcentral
AGUGAACGCUGGCGGUAGGCCUAACACAUGCAAGUCGAACGGCAGCACAGUAAGAGCUUGCUCUUACGGGUGGCGAGUGGCGGACGGGUGAGGAAUACAUCGGAAUCUACUUUUUCGUGGGGGAUAACGUAGGGAAACUUACGCUAAUACCGCAUACGACCUACGGGUGAAAGCAGGGGAUCUUCGGACCUUGCGCGAGUGAAUGAGCCGAUGUCGGAUUAGCUAGUUGGCGGGGUAAAGGCCCACCAAGGCGACGAUCCGUAGCUGGUCUGAGAGGAUGAUCAGCCACACUGGAACUGAGACACGGUCCAGACUCCUACGGGAGGCAGCAGUGGGGAAUAUUGGACAAUGGGCGCAAGCCUGAUCCAGCCAUACCGCGUGGGUGAAGAAGGCCUUCGGAUUGUAAAGCCCUUUUGUUGGGAAAGAAAAGCAGCAGGUUAAUACCCCGCUGUUCUGACGGUACCCAAAGAAUAAGCACCGGCUAACUUCGUG